AUUGAACGCUGGCGGCAGGCCUAACACAUGCAAGUAGAACGAGUGGCGGACGGGUGAGUAAUGUCUGGGAAACUGCCCGAUGGAGGGGGAUAACUAAUGGAAACGGUAGCUAAUACCGCAUACCAUCGGAUGUGCCCAGAUGGGAUGAGCUAGUAGGUGGGGUAGUGGCUCACCUAGGAGACGAUCCCUAGCUGGUCUGAGAGGAUGACCAGCCACACUUGAACUGAUACACGGUCCAGACUCCUACGGGAGGCAGCAGUGGGGAAUAUUGCACAAUGGGCGGGAGCCUGAUGCAGCCAUGCCGCGUGUAUGAAGAAGGCCUUCGGGUUGUAAAGUACUUUCAGCGAGAAGGCGUUACUCGCAGAAGAAGCACCGGCUAACUCCGUGCCAGCAGCCGCGGUAAUAC
RNAcentral lists this ribosomal RNA (406 nucleotides) under uncultured bacterium. RNAcentral's name for it is "partial 16S ribosomal RNA". It matches the Rfam family "Bacterial small subunit ribosomal RNA", at positions 30 to 526 of the family's 1533-position model. The record is from RNAcentral.